This 393-nucleotide ribosomal RNA is filed under the name uncultured bacterium. RNAcentral's name for it is "partial 16S ribosomal RNA". It matches the Rfam family "Bacterial small subunit ribosomal RNA", at positions 523 to 918 of the family's 1533-position model. The record is from RNAcentral.
AUACGGAGGAUGCGAGCGUUAUCCGGAUUUAUUGGGUUUAAAGGGUGCGUAGGUGGUAGUUUAAGUCAGCGGUGAAAGUUUGUCGCUCAACGAUAAAAUUGCAGUUGAUACUGGUUUCCUUGAGUACGGUACAGGUGGGCGGAAUUCGUGUUGUAGCGGUGAAAUGCUUAGAUCUCACGAAGAACUCCGAUCGCGAAGGCAGCUCACCGGGCCGGAACUGACACUGAUGCUCGAAAGUGCGGGUAUCAAACAGGAUUAAAUACCCUGGUAGUCCGCACAGUAAACGAUGAAUACUCGCUGUUUGCGAUACACUGUAAGCGGCCAAGCGAAAGCGUUAAGUAUUCCACCUGGGGAGUACGCCGGCAACGGUGAAACUCAAAUGAAUUGACGGGG